RNAcentral lists this ribosomal RNA (433 nucleotides) under uncultured bacterium. Its description in RNAcentral is "partial 16S ribosomal RNA". It matches the Rfam family "Bacterial small subunit ribosomal RNA", at positions 29 to 507 of the family's 1533-position model. The record is from RNAcentral.
AACGAACGCUGGCGGCAUGCCUAACACAUGCAAGUCGAACGAGACCUUCGGGUCUAGUGGCGCACGGGUGCGUAACGCGUGGGAACAUGCACUUAGGUUCGGAAUAACUCCCCGAAAGGGGUGCUAAUACCGGAUAAUGUCUUCGGACCAAAGAUUUAUCGCCUUUGGAUGGGCACGCGUUGGAUUAGCUAGUUGGUAGGGUAAAAGCCUACCAAGGCGACGAUCCAUAGCUGGUCUGAGAGGAUGAUCAGCCACACUGGGACUGAGACACGGCCCAGACUCCUACGGGAGGCAGCAGUGGGGAAUAUUGGACAAUGGGCGAAAGCCUGAUCCAGCAAUGCCGCGUGAGUGAUGAAGGCCUUAGGGUUGUAAAGCUCUUUUACCCGGGAUGAUAAUGACAGUACCGGGAGAAUAAGCUCCGGCUAACUCCGUG